GGCGGUGUGCCUAACACAUGCAAGUCGAGAAUUGUGUAACAGGUAUAAGUGGGUGUCGAUGUGAAUGACUCGUUGCCUUCUACGAGUAAUCGAACAGAAAUUGUUUUAUUUCUUGCGGGCAAACUACUGGAAACGGUAGUUAAUACAACGCAUGACGACACAAAUUAACAAGGUGCCAUUCUUUUUUUUUUCUCAUCCUUAGAUUUGUCCCGAUCUUGGGAUUAGCUAGUAGGUGGGGUAACCGCCUCACGCUAGGCGACGAUCGGUAGCUGGUCUGAGAAGGUAACCAGCCACACUGGAACUGAGACACGGCCCAGACUCCUACGGGAGGCAGCAGUGGGGAAUAUUGCACAAUGGGCGCAACUCUGAUGCAGCGACGCCGCGU
This 385-nucleotide ribosomal RNA is filed under the name freshwater bacterium FO-104. Its description in RNAcentral is "bacterial SSU rRNA". It matches the Rfam family "Bacterial small subunit ribosomal RNA", at positions 38 to 402 of the family's 1533-position model. The record is from RNAcentral.